UUGAACGCUGGCGGUAUGCCUUACACAUGCAAGUCGAACGGCAGCACGGGAGCAAUCCUGGUGGCGAGUGGCGAACGGGUGAGUAAUACAUCGGAACGUGCCCAGUAGUGGGGGAUAGCCCGGCGAAAGCCGGAUUAAUACCGCAUACGACCUAUGGGUGAAAGCGGGGGAUCGCAAGACCUCGCGCUAUUGGAGCGGCCGAUGUCAGAUUAGGUUGUUGGUGGGGUAAAGGCCUACCAAGCCGUCGAUCUGUAGCUGGUCUGAGAGGACGACCAGCCACACUGGGACUGAGACACGGCCCAGACUCCUACGGGAGGCAGCAGUGGGGAAUUUUGGACAAUGGGCGCAAGCCUGAUCCAGCCAUACCGCGUGCGGGAAGAAGGCCUUCGGGUUGUAAACCGCUUUUGUCAGGGAAGAAACGCUCUGGGUUAAUACCUCGGAGUAAUGACGGUACCUGAAGAAUAAGCACCGGCUAACUACGU
This 482-nucleotide ribosomal RNA is filed under the name uncultured bacterium. RNAcentral's name for it is "bacterial SSU rRNA". It matches the Rfam family "Bacterial small subunit ribosomal RNA", at positions 30 to 506 of the family's 1533-position model. The record is from RNAcentral.